Molecule: ribosomal RNA, 441 nt
Filed under: uncultured bacterium
Lineage: Bacteria
Description: partial 16S ribosomal RNA
Rfam family: Bacterial small subunit ribosomal RNA
Source: RNAcentral
CCUACGGGUGGCAGCAGUGGGGGAUAUUGCACAAUGGGGGGAACCCUGAUGCAGCGACGCCGCGUGGGUGAAGGAGCGUUUCGGCGCGUAAAGCCCUAUCGGCAGGGAAGAAGGAGGACGGUACCUGACUAAGAAGCCCCGGCUAACUACGUGCCAGCAGCCGCGGUAAUACGUAGGGGGCAAGCGUUAUCCGGAUUUACUGGGUGUAAAGGGAGCGUAGACGGCAGCGCAAGUCUGGAGUGAAAUGCCGGGGCCCAACCCCGGAACUGCUCUGGAAACUGUGAAGCUGGAGUGCAGGAGAGGUAAGCGGAAUUCCUGGUGUAGCGGUGAAAUGCGUAGAUAUCAGGAGGAACACCGGCGGCGAAGGCGGCUUACUGGACUGUAACUGACGUUGAGGCUCGAAGGCGUGGGGAGCAAACAGGAUUAGAUACCCCUGUAGUC